This 782-nucleotide long non-coding RNA is filed under the name Homo sapiens (human). RNAcentral's name for it is "HSALNT0071208". The record is from RNAcentral. Lineage: Eukaryota; Metazoa; Chordata; Mammalia; Primates; Hominidae.
AGGUUAAGCAAAUUACUCAAGGUCAUGUUCAGGCACUAUGCUAUGCAAUUGUGAGCCAGAGAUGGAGACAUAGCCCCUGACAAGGCUGUUGUGUGUGGUUGCCCAGCUUGAGCACUGCACAAAAUUGCCUCAUCCAUUGCAGAGGGCAAAGGAGGAUGAGGCUUGAAAUUUAGCCCAAGUUCUGCUCAUAAACCUUGGCCCUGACCCUGGCUACAUUGCACAAAUUCUACAAGCCAAGAUGUGUCUAUGAAGCUGACGCUAACCAGAGGCGGAAGAGCAUUACAAAUUGAGUGAAGCUCCUAGUUGGGUUAACGGCAGCCCUGGCCCCAGGAUCUCAAAAGCAGCCUGAAAAGCAGAUGAUGACAAUGGAACAUGGAUAUGCAGCCCCUGGGGCGAACCUGAGUGUUUGAAAUGCAUGGCAACAAUGUUUAAUUCAUGGCAACAAUGAAUCAGUGCUCUAAGGAAGAAAGAAGUGAAUGGCAAGAUUGCACUUGCCCUCACAGGACUGCCAGCCAGAAACUACAUUUCCCAGCAUCCCUUGCAGCUUGGUAUGGCCAUGUGACCACAUUCUCAUUAAUACAGGAAUAUGAAAACUUCCUGUGUGGGUCCUUUUAUGGCUGCUUCUAGAUUUUCAAAGCUGUCCCAGCUGAGACGCAGGCAAAGAGAAGAAAGAGGCUGGGCUGAAAACCACUGCAAUUUCCUGGGGAGAGAGUGCCCCCGGAUGGGCCAUUGAUCUUCAUUGUUCCUGCUAGACAAAUAGACUUCUCAACAUCAAAUAAAAC